This 458-nucleotide ribosomal RNA is filed under the name uncultured bacterium. RNAcentral describes it as "partial 16S ribosomal RNA". It matches the Rfam family "Bacterial small subunit ribosomal RNA", at positions 338 to 795 of the family's 1533-position model. The record is from RNAcentral.
CCUACGGGAGGCAGCAGUGAGGAAUAUUGGUCAAUGGGCGAGAGCCUGAACCAGCCAAGUCGCGUGAGGGAGUACUGCCCUAUGGGUUGUAAACCUCUUUUGUCGGGGAGCAAAAGCCGGACGUGUCCGGCUGUGAGAGUACCCGAAGAAAAAGCAUCGGCAAACUCCGUGCCAGCAGCCGCGGUAAUACGGGGGAUGCGAGCGUUAUCCGGAUUUAUUGGGUUUAAAGGGUGCGCAGGCGGAUUUUUAAGUCAGCGGUAAAAUCGUGGGGCUCAACCCCAUCCAGCCGUUGAAACUGGGGAUCUAGAGUGUGCGAGAGGUAUGCGGAAUGCGUGGUGUAGCGGUGAAAUGCAUAGAUAUCACGCAGAACCCCGAUUGCGAAGGCAGCAUACCGGUGCACAACUGACGCUCAGGCACGAAAGCGUGGGUAUCGAACAGGAUUAGAUACCCCGGUAGUC